UAAUAAGAAGCAAUUAUUGCAUUUAGUUUCGACCUAAAAGUUUGAUAAUAAAUAUUAUCCUUAUUUU
This 67-nucleotide transfer RNA is filed under the name Callimerus inbasalis. Its description in RNAcentral is "tRNA-Arg". The record is from RNAcentral. Lineage: Eukaryota; Metazoa; Arthropoda; Insecta; Coleoptera; Cleridae.